Molecule: ribosomal RNA, 481 nt
Filed under: uncultured bacterium
Lineage: Bacteria
Description: partial 16S ribosomal RNA
Rfam family: Bacterial small subunit ribosomal RNA
Source: RNAcentral
GAUGAACGCUGGCGGCGUGCUUAACACAUGCAAGUCGAACGAAGCACUUUAUUUGAUUUCCUUCGGGACUGAUUAUUUUGUGACUGAGUGGCGGACGGGUGAGUAACGCGUGGGUAACCUGCCUUGUACAGGGGGAUAACAGUUGGAAACGGCUGCUAAUACCGCAUAAGCGCACAGCAUCGCAUGAUGCAGUGUGAAAAACUCCGGUGGUAUAAGAUGGACCCGCGUUGGAUUAGCUAGUGGGUGAGGUAACGGCCCACCCAGGCGACGAUCCAUAGCCGAGAGGGGAGGGGGACCGGCUGCAAUGGGACUGAGACACGGCCCAAACCCCGACGGGAGGGAGCGGUGGAGAGUAUUGCGCAAGGAGCGAUGGCCUGAUGCAGCGACGCCGCGGGAGCGAAGAAGUAGUUCGGUAUGUAAAGCUGUAUCAGCAGAGAAGAUAAUGACGGUACCGGACUAAGAAGCACCGGCUAAAUACGUG